GUGGGGAAUAUUGGACAAUGGGCGAAAGCCUGAUCCAGCCAUGCCGCGUGUGUGAAGAAGGUCUUCGGAUUGUAAAGCACUUUAAGUUGGGAGGAAGGGCAGUAAGUUAAUACCUUGCUGUUUUGACGUUACCGACAGAAUAAGCACCGGCUAACUUCGUGCCAGCAGCCGCGGUAAUACGAAGGGUGCAAGCGUUAAUCGGAAUUACUGGGCGUAAAGCGCGCGUAGGUGGUUCAGUAAGUUGGAAGUGAAAUCCCCGGGCUCAAACUGUGAACUGCUUUCAAAACUGCUGAGCUAGAGUACGGUAGAGGGUGGUGGAAUUUCCUGUGUAGCGGUGAAAUGCGUAGAUAUAGGAAGGAACACCAGUGGCGAAGGCGACCACCUGGACUGAUACUGACACUGAGGUGCGAAAGCGUGGGGAGCAAACAGGAUUAGAAACCCGGGUAGUCC
This 450-nucleotide ribosomal RNA is filed under the name uncultured bacterium. RNAcentral describes it as "partial 16S ribosomal RNA". It matches the Rfam family "Bacterial small subunit ribosomal RNA", at positions 354 to 796 of the family's 1533-position model. The record is from RNAcentral.